UGCCUUGAAUAUGCAUUAGCAAUAGUGGCUCCACACCAUGCAGUGAUACCCAGCUUCCAUUUGCUACCUUUAAUUAAUAAUUGAAGGAGGAUGCACAAAAGCAGAAAGGAAAGAGGUGCCAAACGUUAAGAGCCCAAAGGCCAGGAGCCAGUGUGGUAGGAAGUCCACGGGAAGAGCUGAAGAUCAACAGUGCACACUGAAAAAAGAAUGGAAGACUCAAAGAAGAAAGGAAGACACAUCUAAACACCUACCAUUGCCUGAGUGAUUCCUCUUGAAGGCAGGACCCUGUUGGCAGUGUCAGCUCCCACCAUCAAUCCACAAUGUGUGAGGAACAAAAUGCCACAAGAAUCUGGAAAUCAUUCAGAAUGUAGUGCAGAACUUUGUAUGUAGAUUUGUGUUCAGAAUGGCUAGGCAGC
Molecule: long non-coding RNA, 416 nt
Organism: Empidonax traillii (willow flycatcher)
Lineage: Eukaryota; Metazoa; Chordata; Aves; Passeriformes; Tyrannidae
Exons: 3
Source: RefSeq, a predicted model, not a curated record